GUAGGAUGGAAAUAAAUUGUAUUAGUUAAAAGUUAAUAGUGAAGUUAAGGGGAUUAGAAAUUUAAGAGGUAAAAUUUGUUAAAUUAAUUAUUUCUUAAGGUAGGAAAUUGAAGCUUUGAAAGUUGAAUAUAAAACUAGGAUUAGAUACCCUAUUAUUUUAAUUGUAAAGAUAAAGGCUUGAGUAGUAUUAGUUAAGUGCUUAAAACUCAAAGAAUUUGGCGGUGUCUUAGUCUUUUCAGAGGAAUCUGUCCCGUGAUCGAUAUUACACGUUAAAUGUUGCUUAAUUUAGUUUAUCAGUUUGUAUACCGCCGUUAUAAGAUUAUCUUUUUAGAGGAAGAAUUUUCUUGAUAUUAUAAGAUAAAAUAUCAGGUCAAGGUGCAGUUUAUAAUUAAGAGGGAGAUGGAUUACAAUAAAUUUAUUUAAAUGGAUUUUUUAUUGAAAAGUAGGAAUGAAGGUGGAUUUGAAGGUAAUUUUAUCAUAUUAUGGUAGAAUGAUUGAAGCUCUAGGACAUGUACACAUCGCCCGUCGCUCUCGUUAUUAAGGUGAGAUAAGUCGUAACAUAGUAGUCGUACUGGAAAGUGUGGCUGGAAAGUCAA
RNAcentral lists this ribosomal RNA (596 nucleotides) under Ancistrura nigrovittata. Its description in RNAcentral is "partial 12S ribosomal RNA". The stretch from base 180 to 587 matches the Rfam family "Microsporidia small subunit ribosomal RNA", at positions 752 to 1303 of the family's 1311-position model. Lineage: Eukaryota; Metazoa; Arthropoda; Insecta; Orthoptera; Tettigoniidae. The record is from RNAcentral.